RNAcentral lists this ribosomal RNA (255 nucleotides) under uncultured bacterium. Its description in RNAcentral is "partial 16S ribosomal RNA". It matches the Rfam family "Bacterial small subunit ribosomal RNA", at positions 99 to 354 of the family's 1533-position model. The record is from RNAcentral.
CGGACGGGUGAGUAACGCGUGGAAAACCUGCCGUAUACUGGGGGAUAACACUUAGAAAUAGGUGCUAAUACCGCAUAAGCGCACAGCUUCGCAUGAAGCGGUGUGAAAAACUCUGGUGGUAUACGAUGGUUCCGCGUCUGAUUAGCUGGUUGGUGGGGUAAUGGCCUACCAAGGCAACGAUCAGUAGCCGGCCUGAGAGGGUGAACGGCCACAUUGGGACUGAGACACGGCCCAAACUCCUACGGAAGGCAGCAG